UAUACUAAUUAAUAUGAUUGUUAAUUAUAUCGUUGGUGAUUACUUAGUAUAAC
Molecule: transfer RNA, 53 nt
Filed under: Ulva gigantea
Lineage: Eukaryota; Viridiplantae; Chlorophyta; Ulvophyceae; Ulvales; Ulvaceae
Description: tRNA-Asn
Source: RNAcentral